RNAcentral lists this unclassified non-coding RNA (362 nucleotides) under uncultured bacterium. RNAcentral describes it as "contains 16S-23S intergenic spacer region". The record is from RNAcentral.
UCCCCGUUACCGGGGCAGUCUAGCUAGACAAUUCAACUAACUAAAAGGGUUGCGCUCGUUGAUGGACUUAACCAAACAUCUCACGACACGAGCUGACGACGGCCAUGCAACACCUGUCACUGGGUUCCCGAAGGCACGGUUUCCUUUCGGAAACUUUCCCAGGAUGUCAAACCUUGGUAAGGUUCUUCGCUUAUCAUCGAAUUAAACAACACACUCCACCGCUUGUGCGGGUCCCCGUCAAUUCCUUUGAGUUUUAAGCUUGCGCUCGUACUACUCAGGCGGCUUGCUUAACGCGUUAGCUUCGCUACUACCCGGGUCGAUACGGAUAACAGCUAGCAAGCAUCGUUUAGGGCGUGGACUAC